This 181-nucleotide signal recognition particle RNA is filed under the name Eubacteriales bacterium. RNAcentral's name for it is "partial signal recognition particle sRNA large type". It matches the Rfam family "Bacterial large signal recognition particle RNA", at positions 1 to 175 of the family's 256-position model. From Rfam's summary of the family: The signal recognition particle (SRP) is a universally conserved ribonucleoprotein involved in the co-translational targeting of proteins to membranes. Archaeal SRP consists of a 7S RNA and homologues of the eukaryotic SRP19 and SRP54 proteins. Lineage: Bacteria; Bacillati; Bacillota; Clostridia; Eubacteriales. The record is from RNAcentral.
CCGCACUAGACGGGGCGGCAGCGGUGCCUUGUACCUGCAAUCCGCUACAGCAGGGUGGAAUCCCGGGGGCUGAGGGGGGAUUUGACCCACGUUUGCAAUGGCUUUGGUGGUGAUGACCGAUUGGUACUGCGCAACGGAGGACUGUGAACCAUGUCAGGCGGGGAACCGAGCAGCAUUAAAC